This 299-nucleotide signal recognition particle RNA is filed under the name Cebus imitator (Panamanian white-faced capuchin). RNAcentral's name for it is "Metazoan signal recognition particle RNA (ENSCCAG00000007982.1)". It matches the Rfam family "Metazoan signal recognition particle RNA". Rfam says of the family: The signal recognition particle (SRP) is a universally conserved ribonucleoprotein. It is involved in the co-translational targeting of proteins to membranes. Lineage: Eukaryota; Metazoa; Chordata; Mammalia; Primates; Cebidae. The record is from RNAcentral.
GCCAGACGUGGUGGUGCAUGCCUGUAAUCCCAACUACUUGGGAGGCUGAGACUGGAGGAUUGCUUGAGUCCAGGAGUUCUGGGCUGUAGUGUGCUAUGCCAAGUGGGUGUCCAUACUAAGUUCGGCAUCAAUAUGAUGAUCUCCUGGGAGUGGGGGACCACCAGGUUGCCUAAGGAGGGGUGAACUGGCCCAAGUCACAAAUGGAGCAGGUCAAAACUCCCAUGCUGAUCAGUAGUGGGAUUGUGCCUGUGAAUAGCCACUGCACUCCUGCCUGGGCAACAUAGCAAGACUCCAUCUCU